Molecule: ribosomal RNA, 154 nt
Filed under: Listeria monocytogenes
Lineage: Bacteria; Bacillati; Bacillota; Bacilli; Caryophanales; Listeriaceae
Description: partial 16S ribosomal RNA
Rfam family: Bacterial small subunit ribosomal RNA
Source: RNAcentral
UUUAAAGAGAGUUUGAUCCUGGCUCAGGACGAACGCUGGCGGCGUGCCUAAUACAUGCAAGUCGAACGAACGGAGGAAGAGCUUGCUCUUCCAAAGUUAGUGGCGGACGGGUGAGUAACACGUGGGCAACCUGCCUGUAAGUUGGGGAUAACUC